RNAcentral lists this ribosomal RNA (466 nucleotides) under uncultured bacterium. Its description in RNAcentral is "bacterial SSU rRNA". It matches the Rfam family "Bacterial small subunit ribosomal RNA", at positions 338 to 795 of the family's 1533-position model. The record is from RNAcentral.
CCUACGGGUCGCAGCAGUGGGGAAUAUUGCACAAUGGGCCUAAGCCUGAUGCAGCCAUGCCGCGUGUAUGAAGAAGGCCUUAGGGUUGUAAAGUACUCUCAGUUGGGAGGAAGGCGUUGAUGCUAAUAUCAUCAACGAUUGACGUUACCAACAGAAGAAGCACCGGCUAACUCCGUGCCAGCAGCCGCGGUAAUACGGAGGGUGCAAGCGUUAAUCGGAAUUACUGGGCGUAAAGCGCACGCAGGCGGUUGAUUAAGUUAGAUGUGAAAUCCCCGGGCUUAACCUGGGAAUGGCAUCUAAGACUGGGCAGCUAGAGUCUUGUAGAGGGGGGGUAGGAUUCCAUGUGUAGCGGUGAAAUGCGUAGAGAUGUGGAGGAAUACCGGUGGCGAAGGCGGCCCCCUGGACAAAGACUGACGCUCAGGUGCGAAAGCGUGGGGAGCAAACAGGAUUAGAUACCCCCGUAGUC